This 2510-nucleotide long non-coding RNA is filed under the name Sus scrofa (pig). RNAcentral's name for it is "lncRNA (ENSSSCG00050047623.1)". Lineage: Eukaryota; Metazoa; Chordata; Mammalia; Artiodactyla; Suidae. The record is from RNAcentral.
CACAGAUGCAGCUUGGAUCUGGCAUUGCUGUGGCUCUGGCGUAGGCUGGCAGUAGCAGCUCUGGUUAGACCCCUAGCCUGGGAACUGACACAUGCUGCAAGUGUGGCCCUAAAAAAGACAAAAGACAACAAAAAAAAAAAAAAAAAAAAAAGAAGAAGAAGAAGAAGGUAGAAAAUGACCAAUUAGUUGGAACUUGCAAGAAUUACUUUAUGUAAUGCUUAUAUAAAGUAUCUUUGUAUACUUUUGUUCAAUUACUUGGGUGCAAUCAAAAGGCUGAAUGCUGGUUUCAGAUAGUGUUACUCUGAACAAUAAAUAUCUGUACAUUAAUAUUUUUCACCUCAUUUUGCAUCUUCAACCCCUAUUUUAAUGUAAAAAGUUAUCUUGGUCAGAAUGGUAGGUAUUUCCCUAAAAGCAUCUAAUUUAAAGUCAGCUUUAGUGUGAAUGAAAAGAAUUACCAGGUAUGAUGCUGCAGAUUUCCAUUAAAGUCACAUUAAGAGAUAGCAGGGCUGUGAGCAAGGAAAAAGAUCCAACAGGGACCUUUAAUAGUGUACUGAGUAGGCUGGGGCUAGGAAUUUCAUUCUCAAGAAUGAAUCAGAAAAAUAGAAACACGUUUGUGUAUAUGAAGAAUGAUUUCAUCUCUCUGACCACUGAAUGGGAACCUAAGGAGGGCAGAGGAGAAGCAAUAUAGUAUGUGAAAUGAAAUGAGGCCUUUUACAGUGAAACCUGAUGUAGUGUGUCUAGUGUCAUAGUUUAGAUUGCUCAGUAGGGAGCAAGCGUGGCUUUAACUUCAUGAAGAGAUAUUAGGCAACUGAUUGCAUAGAAAAUGCAUUAUCUCUCUUUCUUAAGGAACUGUUUCUUGAGUCUGUUUUGUGUUCUUUUAUGCCCAUUUAAAAACAUUUCCUCUUCGUACAUUUCAUAUGUAAUACUUCACUGUGGUAAUAAAAAGUAUUGCAGUUCAAAACAUGAAAUCAUAUUAGGAUAGUUCUCUAGUGACUAAUAUGGCAGAAAUAUGGCAGUGAUGUUUUAUUCCAUAAACCACUAUCAUGAUAAACAAAAACAUAGCCAUAUUAGAUUGUACAUAGACUUUCUGUUAUGCAUGAGGGAGCUAGAGUAACCAGGAUACUUUUAGACGUGUUCUGUAGAUCUUUAAUAAGGUUUUUUUGCUUCAAUUCAAUAUUACUAUCACCAUGAUUAUUAUUCAUAAUAUUGUUAUUAAAAUUUAAUAUAGCAUAUUACUAAAAUAGAAGCAACCAUACUUAAAAUUUUGGAUUAGCUCUUAUUUGAUGAAUUAUAUUUGAAUUCAUGUACAGAAUGCAUAAACUAAGUAUCAAUGCAAUUUUUCAAGAACUUAGAAAUUGUUAAAACUUUUCACGUUGUUAACGUACAUAAUUGGUAAUUUCCUCUAUCCAUAAAAACUAGUGUUAUUUAAUGUUAACUCUUCAUUUAAGUUUUGCAUAGUGAUAUAGAUCAAUUAUGUAUUUUCUUAAAAAAAUAAGAUACUAUCAUACAUAUAUAUUGUUAUUAUUUGGGUAAACUCAGGUAUAAUGCAUUCUGGGACUAGCGCCAUUCAUUAUGGAAGAAAUCACUGCCUUGGAUAUAAUGCUGAAAUAGAUGACAUGUAUGUCAUUUUCCAUCCUUAAAAAAAUGUUCUCUCACACUACUUUAAAAUAGGGGCAAUAAUUUCAUUCUAGUUUUCAGUGAUUAUUUGUGAAUAUGAAAAAGGAAUAGAAGUAAGUAAGUUACAGGUGCUGUCAAUGAAUUUGAACGCAAAAUAGUUUGUAUAUUGUUUGAACUGACUUUAAUAAUAACAUAGGGCCUUAUUUAAAUGAAACUUAUUUUUUAGUCAGUAUUCAGACCAGGUUUAUGUAUGUGUGUAUAUGUUUGGGGAACACCUUGAAGCUUACUCUUAGGGUAACAGAAAUGCAAAAUACCAUCCCCUGAUUAAAAAAAAAAAGUAAAUUUCCUAUCAUGUUAUUAGAGUGUGUAAUUCAGGUUUGGAUAGCUAAAAUCUGUUGCACAAAUUUGUUGUUCAUUGAUCAUGGUGAUUUGUUUAAUGAUACGUAAAAAGAACAUGCCAAAGCCUUGUAAGAGUUAAAAUGAAAACAACCAUUGUUUAAGGAAGAAGAAAAUCAAAACAAUAUGUAGGUGUAGAUGCACUGUACAGGAAUGUGUCUCAUCAUGUUCAGUAAAUUUAAAACACAUCAAAGUCAGGCAGAAACUAAGCUGGUGAGACUUCGAGCCUUUUUAUUUUGUCUGGGUCGUGUGUUUGUGUGUGUGUGUGUAGGUAUGUGUAUAUAAACACAUGCAUAUGUAUUUCUUCCUUUUAAGGAAACAAACAUAGGUAUUAAGAAGUAAUUGGGGACUUCCCUUUGUGGCUCAGCGGUUAACAAAUCUGACUAGGAACCAUGAAGUUGUGGGUUCAAUCCCUGGCCUAGCUCAGUGGGUUAAGGAUCCAGCAUUGCUGUGAGCUGUGGUGUAGGUUGCAGACGAGGCUCAGAUCCCGAGUUGCU